GUCAAGGUGGUGGAGUGGUUAACACGUUCGCCUGCUAUACUGCAGUAGAGCGGAUGCCUUCGGGCGCGCAGGUUCGAAUCCUGUCCUUGACG
RNAcentral lists this transfer RNA (92 nucleotides) under Ascodesmis nigricans. It matches the Rfam family "tRNA". Rfam says of the family: Transfer RNA (tRNA) molecules are approximately 80 nucleotides in length. Their secondary structure includes four short double-helical elements and three loops (D, anti-codon, and T loops). The record is from Rfam by way of RNAcentral. Lineage: Eukaryota; Fungi; Ascomycota; Pezizomycetes; Pezizales; Ascodesmidaceae.